GAUGAACGCUGGCGGUAUGCCUAAUACAUGCAAGUCGUGCGGAAAGGCCUCUUCGGAGGUACUCGAGCGGCGGACGGCAGAGUAACGCGUAGGAACAUACCCCAAACUGAGGGAUAACUGCUCGAAAGAGUAGCUAAUACCGCAUGUGGUCUUCGGACUAAAGCUUCGGCGGUUUGGGAAUGGCCUGCGUUCGAUUAGCUAGUUGGUGAGGUAAUUGCUCACCAAGGCGACGAUCGAUAGCUGGUCUGAGAGGAUGAUCAGCCUGACUGGAACUGAGACACGGUCCAGACUCCUACGGAGGCAGCAGUAGGGAAUUUUCCACAAUGGGCGAAAGCCUGAUGGAGCAAUACCGCGUGCAGGAUG
RNAcentral lists this ribosomal RNA (363 nucleotides) under uncultured bacterium. RNAcentral's name for it is "bacterial SSU rRNA". It matches the Rfam family "Bacterial small subunit ribosomal RNA", at positions 28 to 410 of the family's 1533-position model. The record is from RNAcentral.